AAUGAACGCUGGCGGCAUGCCUUACACAUGCAAGUCGAACGGCAGCAUGGCCUAGCUUGCUAGGUUGAUGGCGAGUGGCGAACGGGUGAGUAAUGCAUCGGAACGUGCCUUUUAGUGGGGGAUAACGUAGCGAAAGUUACGCUAAUACCGCAUAUUCUCUGAGGAGGAAAGCAGGGGGCCUUCGGGCCUUGCGCUAGAAGAGCGGCCGAUGUCGGAUUAGCUAGUUGGUGAGGUAAAGGCUCACCAAGGCAACGAUCCGUAGCGGGUCUGAGAGGAUGAUCCGCCACACUGGGACUGAGACACGGCCCAGACUCCUACGGGAGGCAGCAGUGGGGAAUUUUGGACAAUGGGCGCAAGCCUGAUCCAGCCAUGCCGCGUGAGUGAAGAAGGCCUUCGGGUUGUAAAGCUCUUUCGGCUGGGAAGAAAUCGCACUCUCUAAUACAGGGUGUGGAUGACGGUACCAGCAUAAGAAGCACCGGCUAACUACGUG
RNAcentral lists this ribosomal RNA (490 nucleotides) under uncultured bacterium. Its description in RNAcentral is "partial 16S ribosomal RNA". It matches the Rfam family "Bacterial small subunit ribosomal RNA", at positions 29 to 507 of the family's 1533-position model. The record is from RNAcentral.